AUUGAACGCUGGCGGCAGGCCUAACACAUGCAAGUCGAACGGUAACAGGAGGCAGCUUGCUGCUUUGCUGACGAGUGGCGGACGGGUGAGUAAUGUCUGGGAAACUGCCUGAUGGAGGGGGAUAACUACUGGAAACGGUAGCUAAUACCGCAUAACGUCGCAAGACCAAAGAGGGGGACCUUAGGGCCUCUUGCCAUCGGAUGUGCCCAGAUGGGAUUAGCUAGUAGGUGGGGUAACGGCUCACCUAGGCGACGAUCCCUAGCUGGUCUGAGAGGAUGACCAGCCACACUGGAACUGAGACACGGUCCAGACUCCUACGGGAGGCAGCAGUGGGGAAUAUUGCACAAUGGGCGCAAGCCUGAUGCAGCCAUGCCGCGUGUAUGAAGAAGGCCUUCGGGUUGUAAAGUACUUUCAGCGGGGAGGAAGGGAGUAAAGUUAAUACCUUUGCUCAUUGACGUUACCCGCAGAAGAAGCACCGGCUAACUCCGUG
This 490-nucleotide ribosomal RNA is filed under the name uncultured bacterium. RNAcentral describes it as "partial 16S ribosomal RNA". It matches the Rfam family "Bacterial small subunit ribosomal RNA", at positions 30 to 507 of the family's 1533-position model. The record is from RNAcentral.